RNAcentral lists this ribosomal RNA (475 nucleotides) under uncultured bacterium. Its description in RNAcentral is "partial 16S ribosomal RNA". It matches the Rfam family "Bacterial small subunit ribosomal RNA", at positions 28 to 507 of the family's 1533-position model. The record is from RNAcentral.
GAUGAACGCUAGCGGCAGGCCUAACACAUGCAAGUCGAGGGAUAAGCCUUCGGGCUAAGACCGGCGCACGGGUGCGUAACGCGUAUACAAUCUGCCUUUUAUCCGGGGGAUAGCCCGAAGAAAUUUGGAUUACUACCCUAUGGUAUAAGAGCACGGCAUCGUGCACUUAUUAAAGCUACGGCGGUACAAGAUGAGUAUGCGUUCUAUUAGCUAGUUGGAGAGGGAACGGCUCCCCAAGGCGACGAUAGAUAGGGGUUCUGAGAGGGACGUCCCCCACACUGGUACUGAGAUACGGACCAGACUCCUACGAGAGGCAGCAGUGAGGAAGAUUGGACAAUGGUCGGAAGACUGAUCCAGCCAUGCCGCGUGCAGGAUGACGGCCUUAUGGGUUGUAAACUGCUUUUGUAAGGGAAGAAUAAGGAGUACGUGUACUUUGAUGACGGUACCUUACGAAUAAGCAUCGGCUAACUCCGUG